AUUGAACGCUGGCGGCAUGCCUUACACAUGCAAGUCGAACGGUAACGGGCCUUCGGGUGCCGACGAGUGGCGAACGGGUGAGUAAUACAUCGGAACGUGCCCGAUCGUGGGGGAUGACGAGGCGAAAGCUUUGCUAAUACCGCAUACGAUCUACGGAUGAAAGCAGGGGACCGCAAGGCCUUGCGCGGACGGAGCGGCCGAUGGCAGAUUAGGUAGUUGGUGGGAUAAAAGCUUACCAAGCCGACGAUCUGUAGCUGGUCUGAGAGGAUGAUCAGCCACACUGGGACUGAGACACGGCCCAGACUCCUACGGGAGGCAGCAGUGGGGAAUUUUGGACAAUGGGCGCAAGCCUGAUCCAGCCAUGCCGCGUGCAGGAUGAAGGCCUUCGGGUUGUAAACUGCUUUUGUACGGAACGAAAAGCCUUCUUUUAAUACAGGAGGGUCAUGACGGUACCGUAAGAAUAAGCACCGGCUAACUACGU
RNAcentral lists this ribosomal RNA (481 nucleotides) under uncultured bacterium. RNAcentral's name for it is "partial 16S ribosomal RNA". It matches the Rfam family "Bacterial small subunit ribosomal RNA", at positions 30 to 506 of the family's 1533-position model. The record is from RNAcentral.